RNAcentral lists this ribosomal RNA (253 nucleotides) under uncultured bacterium. Its description in RNAcentral is "partial 16S ribosomal RNA". It matches the Rfam family "Bacterial small subunit ribosomal RNA", at positions 524 to 776 of the family's 1533-position model. The record is from RNAcentral.
UACGUAGGGGGCUAGCGUUGUCCGGAAUCAUUGGGCGUAAAGAGCGUGUAGGCGGUCCGGUAAGUCCGCUGUGAAAGUCGGGGGCUCAACCCUCGAAUGCCGGUGGAUACUGUCGGGCUAGAGUGCGGAAGAGGCGAGUGGAAUUCCUGGUGUAGCGGUGAAAUGCGCAGAUAUCAGGAGGAACACCGAUUGCGAAGGCAGCUCGCUGGGACGGUACUGACGCUGAGGCGCGAAAGCGUGGGGAGCGAACAGG